CCAGACUCCUACGGGAGGCAGCAGUGGGGAAUAUUGCACAAUGGGCGCAAGCCUGAUGCAGCCAUGCCGCGUGUAUGAAGAAGGCCUUCGGGUUGUAAAGUACUUUCAGCGGGGAGGAAGGCGAUAAGGUUAAUAACCUUGUCGAUUGACGUUACCCGCAGAAGAAGCACCGGCUAACUCCGUGCCAGCAGCCGCGGUAAUACGGAGGGAGCAAGCGUUAAUCGGAAUUACUGGGCGUAAAGCGCACGCAGGCGGUCUGUCAAGUCGGAUGUGAGAUCCCCGGGCUCAACCUGGGAACUGCAUUCGAAACUGGCAGGCUGGAGUUUUGUAGAGGGGGGUAGAAUUCCAGGUGUAGCGGUGAAAUGCGUAGAGAUCUGGAGGAAUACCGGUGGCGAAGGCGGCCCCCUGGACAAAGACUGACGCUCAGGGGCGAAAGCGUGGGGAGCAAACAGGAUUAGAUACCCCCGUCCCA
Molecule: ribosomal RNA, 472 nt
Filed under: uncultured bacterium
Lineage: Bacteria
Description: bacterial SSU rRNA
Rfam family: Bacterial small subunit ribosomal RNA
Source: RNAcentral